GAGUUUGUUGAGAAAAAACGAGAACUGCUAAUUACUCGUCACCCUGGUUCAACUCCACGGCUAACUCA
Molecule: transfer RNA, 68 nt
Filed under: Anomaloglossus tepuyensis
Lineage: Eukaryota; Metazoa; Chordata; Amphibia; Anura; Aromobatidae
Description: tRNA-Ser
Source: RNAcentral